UGAUGAAAGUCAGGCUCUUCUCAGUCCUGAAACUGGGCUGCCUAAAUAAAAGGGCAAUCGUUGCCUUCUUUCUAGCUCUUUGUAAGCCUGAUGAUUGUUUUUUGUAAUUGAAGUUACAUUGAAGUAAUUCUGUCACUUUUCCUCACAAAUAUGCAGUGAUGCUGCUUUUGAUUUGCAUUUGUAUUCUUUUUUUUUUUCCCUCGCUUCAGGGUACAUUUAGUGUUUAUUUACUCUCAAUUAACAGUUCAAGUUUCAUUCAGCUGCAAGUCUUAAAAUGGUUGAUACAGUAAUUUGAAAUUCUGUAUAUCUAUGCACUGAUUGAUGAAUAAAUUCCUACUUGUUAAAU
This 346-nucleotide unclassified non-coding RNA is filed under the name Hevea brasiliensis (rubber tree). Lineage: Eukaryota; Viridiplantae; Streptophyta; Magnoliopsida; Malpighiales; Euphorbiaceae. The record is from RNAcentral.